UGGGAAUAAAAGAGACUGUAUGUGACAGUACAGGGAGUUCCUGUUUUAACCCUCAAAGUGAAGUGUCGUCUCAUUAUUGGGGGAAGGAUUUAUUGUAUGCUGUUCCAGUUUGACUGCUAGGAGAGUAAACCUAUUCGUAUGGUUCCUAUUCAACUGUCUACAGCAUUCAUAUGCUUGGGAGAAUUUGUUUCUCCGGUUCGGUGAUUGUGGUGUCUGCCAGAGUGCUUGGAGUCCUCAGGAAGCGCUAGGAGCAUCCUUCAACGGAGGUACCCAGUCGGGGUGCCAGGCGAUCCGUUACAUUGGUGGCAGCGGUGGGAUGGCGUCCUAGUGCGAGGUAAAGCAGCUCAGAGACACAGUUCGUGGAGUUACA
Non-coding RNA from Pelobates cultripes (western spadefoot toad), 370 nucleotides. The record is from the annotation of a GenBank genome assembly. Lineage: Eukaryota; Metazoa; Chordata; Amphibia; Anura; Pelobatidae.